This 253-nucleotide ribosomal RNA is filed under the name uncultured bacterium. Its description in RNAcentral is "partial 16S ribosomal RNA". It matches the Rfam family "Bacterial small subunit ribosomal RNA", at positions 524 to 776 of the family's 1533-position model. The record is from RNAcentral.
GACGUAGGGCGCGAGCGUUGUCCGGAUUUAUUGGGCGUAAAGAGCUCGUAGGCGGCUUGUCGCGUCGACUGUGAAAUCCCGCGGCUCAACCGCGGGUCUGCAGUCGAUACGGGCAGGCUAGAGUUCGGUAGGGGAGACUGGAAUUCCUGGUGUAGCGGUGAAAUGCGCAGAUAUCAGGAGGAACACCGGUGGCGAAGGCGGUUCUCUGGGCAUGUCCUGACGCUGAGGAGCGAAAGUGUGGGGAGCGAACAGG